AUCGAUCACUCUGCUGCCUGGCGUUGGACGCGACGCACCGCCAUCUUGAGCCAAGCUGUUGGGCCUGUGGAUUAACCUCCUUCUCUCGCAAGCCAUGGCAAUGGAUGCGCAGCAGCAGAACAAGAACUUGGAGGGCGUCAAGAAGGAAGCUCAGACGCCCAAGACCAACGAGAAUGGCAGCGAUAUGGACAAUUUCCGAGGUGGGAGAGGAGGCGGCCGCGGCAGCUUCCGUGGCAACCGGGGCGGAGGACCUGGCGGCCCUGGAGGACGAGGCGGCGGCAAUGCGUCUGCGGGCUCAGUGCAAACCUCCACACCGGUGCCCGGAGGUAUCGGCAGCCUAGGGCAGAGUAACAAUCUCGGGCAAGUUGCUCAGGGCGGUGGCGGCGGCGGCGGUGGUGGCGGUGGCGGCGGCGGCGGCGGCGGCGUCGGCGUCGUUGGCGGCGGCGUUGGCGGCGGCGGCGGCGGCGGCGGCGGCGGGGCGAGAGGAGGCUACAACGACCGCAAUGAACGUGGUGGAGGUGGAGGGUUUUAUCGUGGCGGCAGGGGCGGCCGUGGGGGUCGCGGCGGCGGCGGAGGCGGAGGCGGAGGAAAUUUCAACCAAGGCGACAGAGACAAGUUCCCUCAUGAUAGGGUUUUAGAACGUCUGAAGGCCCUCUCAGGACCAAUGAUCGACUUAGUGCCUCGUGAAGAAAAUGUCCGGAAAUUCUCAAAUCAUUGCAGACUUUGGGUUGGAAAUCUUCCUCUUGACAUCAAGGAAGAUGAUGUUAAGGAAUUGUUCAAACCAUUUGGAGAGUUUGAUGAAGUGUACUUUGACAAGAAUAAAGGCUUUGCAUUUGUGCGGAUGGACUAUAAGAGCAAUGCAGAGAAAGCAAGGCAGGAGUUACACCUGAAGGACUACAAGGGUCGGCAACUGAAGAUCAGGUUUUCUUCACCAGGCACAGCCUUGAAAGUCAGGAAUCUGUCCACUUGGGUGACAAAUGAAUUGCUGGAGAAGGCAUUUAGUGUUUUUGGAGAGCUAGAGAAAGCAGUUGUGAUCACAGAUGAACGUGGUCGUGCUACAGGUGAAGGUGUUGUGGAAUUUUGUAAGAAGCCAGCUGCUAAUUUGGCUCUCAAGAAGUGUCAGGAUGGUUGCUUCUUUAUGGUAUCGUCACCACGUCCAGUUAUUGUUGAACCAAUGGCUGUAGUGGAUGACAAUGAAGGCAUGAGUGAGAUCAAUGUAAACAAGCGAAACCCCGAGUACAUCAAGGAAAGGCAACAAGGCCCUCGUUUUGCUCAGCCAGGAUCCUUUGAAUAUGAGUAUGGCUUAAAAUGGAAGCAGUUGUAUGAACUAUUUGACAAGAAGAAAGAUUCUCUGGAAAGGGAGUUAACUGAUGAGAAGAGGAAACUUGAAGAGCAGAUUGAAUAUGCAAAAUAUGAGCAUGACACAGAAAUGUUGAGAGAACAGCUGCGUCAGAGGGAGGAAAUGAAUCAGCGCACUAAGUCAGACUUUGAACAACGCCAGCGUGAAUGGGAAGAACAUAGACGUCAAGAGGAGGAGCGUCAACGGCGACAGGAGGAGGAGUUGUCAAUGAAGUUCCGUCAGCAGGAAGAGGAACUGAGGAGGCGCCAGGAAGAGAACAGACAGUUUAUGGCAGAACGGGGAAAUGAUCUAAUGAAGAGUGAAAACAGCCAAGACAGCUUUGGCAGUGGUGGCUACCAAGGGAUGGAAGGUAGCAACUGGCGACGCACCAGUGACAGUUACGGCACACAAGGAGGCAGCAGCUGGCGUGGAGGAGGAAGCGACUCCUGGGGACGCUCAGCUGGUGCAGGUAGUCGAGGAGGUGUUGGUAGUGGCACUGGCCAGAAUUGGGGAGACAGUGCAUGGGAUGGACGUCCAGACCCUUGGCAGAGUGACAACCGUGGCAGUUACCAGAGAGGCAACAGUGAGAGUGAGUUGCCUCCUCCACCGAUGGUAUUCUGUCGAGGAAGAGGAUAUGGCUACCGACGCAACACCAGGAUGGGGGUAGUGACGUGAUGUGGAAUGCUGCGUGAACAGGGCAUCAGUUUGGCACAGCAGAAGGGUGAUGCAUUAAUAUGGGGAAGGGGGGGCAAAUAUUGAGGCACCAAGGAGGCAUUCACAACUGCACAGGGUGUAGUCAGAGGAGGUUGGCCUCUGCUGUGGGGAUAUGCACCCUGGAGUCAAGGUGAGAUGACAGCGGUUUAGUAGAAGAGGCUGAGGAGUAGCAGUUUAGGGUGGAGACCAAUCAGAUUGAGCCAUAAAAUGUAGAUGCUCUGGCAGUGAUAGGAAGCUUGUAUUUUCCAUCAGGCAAAAGAGAGUGGCUAAAUAAAAAUAAAUGAGGGAAAGAGGGGAAGGAAGGGGUAGAAAGGAUCUGAAUGUGAAUUUUAUCACUUUUUUCUUUGCUGUUAAAAUUUAUACUGUUAUUGGUAUUAUUAUUGUUGUUAUUAUUAUGAUUAUUUUAAUUUUAGCAAGAAACAAUUUUAAGGAAAGGGGUAAAGGUGAUGCAGGUAGUACUAUAGUGACUUUUUGUUGACUUAGUACAUGUUGAGCUAUUUAUGUGCAAACACAAUCAUUAAACUAAAAUCAUAGUGGAUAUGGCAUAUGUCAUGCCAUCCCAGCAUUAUCAUUAUCAUUAUGAUAUUAAUUUGUAGCAAGAAACAAUUUUAAGGGAAGAGGUAAACAGGUGAUGCAGGUAGUACUAGUAGUGACUUUUUGGUUAGUAAGUACAUGUUGAGCUAUUUAUGUGCAAACACAAUCAAUAAACUAAAAUCACAGUGGAUAUAGAAUAUACUGUAUGUCAUGCCAUCCCAGCAUAAAGGAUUUCAGAGAAAAGCAAGGGACUGGUUUUGAAAGAUUAAGGCUCCUAAUGCUCUUCCUAAAAUUUUAAUUUAUUUGGUGGUGACUUUUGGGGCAGAUGUUAUUGAAAUUAUUGGCAAUAAUUUCAGGGGUUGGUUUCAUAUAUCAAAUAAUACCAAAGACCAUAUUUUGGCAAAAGAAUAAUUCUUUCUUGGCCCUGGCCAUUACCUCUAAUGUUCUUAUUUGUGUGUGAAUACUAGCGAUACUGUGUAGAAUUUAAUGAAGUACCGUAAUUUCAGCAGGUAAAGUUCUUUAAAUAUGGUUUACUGAAAUGUGUGCUAAAUUGAUUAAAUAUGAUUCUGACCUUUGAACUUUUGAUGCCAGGAAUGCAUGUAUACAUGCACAGCCCACUGUGGUUUUAUUAAAUUUGUUUAAAAUCAUGACUCCAGAAGUGCUUUGUCACCAAGGAAUUAAUUAUUAGACCUGUGUCACUUGCAUCUGUUUACCCCAUACUAUCACCAAAUCCACCCCCCCUCCACCCCCCAUCAUCACCAUCAUCACCAUCAUCACCUCC
RNA transcript from Penaeus chinensis, 3368 nucleotides. It is a transcript of the gene named hrp65 protein-like, with no coding region annotated. The record is from RefSeq and is a predicted model, not a curated record. The transcript has 11 exons. NCBI's taxonomy places the organism in Eukaryota, Metazoa, Arthropoda, Malacostraca, Decapoda, Penaeidae.